RNAcentral lists this ribosomal RNA (449 nucleotides) under uncultured bacterium. Its description in RNAcentral is "partial 16S ribosomal RNA". It matches the Rfam family "Bacterial small subunit ribosomal RNA", at positions 29 to 523 of the family's 1533-position model. The record is from RNAcentral.
AACGAACGCUGGCGGCAGGCCUAAAACAUGCAAGUCGAACGAUCUAGCAAUAGAUAGUGGCGCACGGGUGAGUAACACGUGGGAAUAUCCCUUUCACUACGGAACAAUGUCGGGAAACUGACGCUAAUACCGUAUAAUGUCUCCGGACCAAAGAUUUAUCGGUGAAAGAUUAGCCCGCGUCUGAUUAGCUAGUUGGUGAGGUAACGGCUCACCAAGGCAACGAUCAGUAGCUGGUCUGAGAGGAUGAUCAGCCACGCUGGAACUGAGACACGGUCCAGACUCCUACGGGAGGCAGCAGUUAGGAAUAUUGGACAAUGGGGGCAACCCUGAUCCAGCCGUGCCGCGUGUGUGACGAAGGCCUUAGGGUUGUAAAGCACUUUCGUCUACGAAGAUAAUGACAGUAGUAGAAGAAGAAGCUCCGGCUAAAUUCGUGCCAGCCGCCGCAGUAA